This 1041-nucleotide long non-coding RNA is filed under the name Pogonomyrmex barbatus (red harvester ant). Its description in RNAcentral is "uncharacterized LOC105426582, transcript variant X1". Lineage: Eukaryota; Metazoa; Arthropoda; Insecta; Hymenoptera; Formicidae. The record is from RNAcentral.
UAAAUAACUUUGAAUCACAAUUUCACAAUCAAUUACACCAACAAUCAUAACUUUACAAUACAAUAUCAUAUCCCGAUUAUUAUAUUAAUAAAACAUAUUUCCCCGCGAUUUCCGCUCGAUCGCGGAUUCUAAUCCGAAAAUUAGUUUCCAGAUAAUUGUAUCUAGUGUCGCCAUUGAACAUAAAUGCACUAGAUAUCCCUUCCCAAAUUCCAUUAACUGUUCUACGCCCAUCUCGGGACGUAAUAUACGAGUAUGUGUACGAAUAAAUCAAGUAGAUGUGAACCUAAUCUGUGAGAAUAUAUUCAGAAGUCAUUAUGGAUCCUGAUUUGUUGUUAUUAAUAAUAUGGAAGCGAUGGCAAAAGUGGAAGAUGAAACAAUCUCAACAACAGAAAAUUAGACGAUAUAAUAUUUUAAAAUUGUUUGGAAUAUGGAAAUUGAUGAUUCAGCGUAACAAUAAUAGCGUAAACAACAUAAAGUAAAUACGCGAAAUUUGAUGUUCAAGUGAAACGAUGUGAUUGAUCGGCGCAAGUUACGCCGCAUGUGAUGACAUCCUUAGAUUUUCACCGGUGGUCAUCUCAUGGUUUCACCGUUUGUCAUUUUCACUGCGAUCAUGCAGCGAAAGAAAUUAUUAGUGACAUAACUAGAAGUAGUGAAGAUCUAUUCACAUUAAAAUAUCCCAAAAACUACACUGAAGGAAACUUCACGACUUGUCUGUAUUUCAAACAAACAGGAGUGUAAGAGGUAAACCAGCUUUGAGAGCUAAGCCCGCUUGAAGAUGUUCAAAGUGAUGAGCUGCAAUUCAUCGAAGAGUCGUUAAAUGAGUCUGCACCUAAGGAGUCUACACAUCAAAUUUGGCAGGAAAAAAACGUUCUUUAAUCAUAGAAAUUAUAAAUCACAAUUUAUAAAUCACAAUUCAGGUAACGAAGCUGAUAAAGAGAACAUAAAUGGCAGAAAUGAUCUUGAAAUGUGAUAUUAGAUAAUAUCUAGAAGAAUAGAUUUCUAAUGGAGGGGAUAAUAAAAGGGAUUUUAAUCAAUACCAAU